CUACGGGGCGCUGCAGUGAGGAAUAUUGCACAAUGGGGGGAACCCUGAUGCAGCAACGCCGCGUGGAGGAUGACGCCUUUCGGUGUGUAAACUCCUUUUAUAUGUCAAGAAAAUGACGGUAGCAUAUGAAUAAGCACUGGCUAACUCCGUGCCAGCAGCCGCGGUAAUACGGAGGGUGCAAGCGUUACUCGGAAUCACUGGGCGUAAAGGACGCGUAGGCGGGUUGGAAAGUCAGGUGUGAAAUCCUACAGCUUAACUGUAGAACUGCACUUGAAACUUCUAAUCUAGAGUAUGGGAGGGGGAGAUGGAAUUAGUGGUGUAGGGGUAAAAUCCGUAGAUAUCACUAGGAAUACCUAAAGCGAAGGCGAUCUCCUGGAACAUUACUGACGCUAAGGCGUGAAAGCGUGGGGAGCAAACAGGAUUAGAUACCCCCGUAGUC
Molecule: ribosomal RNA, 439 nt
Filed under: uncultured bacterium
Lineage: Bacteria
Description: partial 16S ribosomal RNA
Rfam family: Bacterial small subunit ribosomal RNA
Source: RNAcentral